GAAUAUACACCCCCUAAUA
This 19-nucleotide transfer RNA is filed under the name Calotes sp. Its description in RNAcentral is "tRNA-Met". Lineage: Eukaryota; Metazoa; Chordata; Lepidosauria; Squamata; Agamidae. The record is from RNAcentral.